Molecule: ribosomal RNA, 906 nt
Filed under: Chryseobacterium sp. C4R1_pA
Lineage: Bacteria; Pseudomonadati; Bacteroidota; Flavobacteriia; Flavobacteriales; Weeksellaceae
Description: bacterial SSU rRNA
Rfam family: Bacterial small subunit ribosomal RNA
Source: RNAcentral
AGAGUUUGAUCAUGGCUCAGGAUGAACGCUAGCGGGAGGCCUAACACAUGCAAGCCGAGCGGUAGGUUUCCUUCGGGAGACUGAGAGCGGCGCACGGGUGCGGAACACGUGUGCAACCUGCCUUUAUCAGGGGGAUAGCCUUUCGAAAGGAAGAUUAAUACCCCAUAAUAUUUUAAGUGGCAUCACUUGAAAUUGAAAACUCCGGUGGAUAAAGAUGGGCACGCGCAAGAUUAGAUAGUUGGUAGGGUAACGGCCUACCAAGUCUACGAUCUUUAGGGGGCCUGAGAGGGUGAUCCCCCACACUGGUACUGAGACACGGACCAGACUCCUACGGGAGGCAGCAGUGAGGAAUAUUGGACAAUGGGUGAGAGCCUGAUCCAGCCAUCCCGCGUGAAGGACGACGGCCCUAUGGGUUGUAAACUUCUUUUGUAUAGGGAUAAACCUAGAUACGUGUAUCUAGCUGAAGGUACUAUACGAAUAAGCACCGGCUAACUCCGUGCCAGCAGCCGCGGUAAUACGGAGGGUGCAAGCGUUAUCCGGAUUUAUUGGGUUUAAAGGGUCCGUAGGCGGAUCUGUAAGUCAGUGGUGAAAUCUCACAGCUCAACUGUGAAACUGCCAUUGAUACUGCAGGUCUUGAGUGUUGUUGAAGUAGCUGGAAUAAGUAGUGUAGCGGUGAAAUGCAUAGAUAUUACUUAGAACACCAAUUGCGAAGGCAGGUUACUAAGCAACAACUGACGCUGAUGGACGAAAGCGUGGGGAGCGAACAGGAUUAGAUACCCUGGUAGUCCACGCCGUAAACGAUGCUAACUCGUUUUUGGGUUUUCGGAUUCAGAGACUAAGCGAAAGUGAUAAGUUAGCCACCUGGGGGAGUACGUUCGCAAGAAUGAAACUCAAAGGAAUUGACGG